CCCUUAGAUGUUCUGGGCCGCACGCGCGCUACACUGAUGCAUUCAACGAGCCUAUCCUUGACCGACAGGUCCGGGUAAUCUUUGAAUCUGCAUCGUGACGGGGAUAGAUUAUUGCAAUUAUUAAUCUUCAACGAGGAAUGCCUAGUAGGCGCAAGUCAUCAGCUUGCGUCGAUUACGUCCCUGCCCUUUGUACACACCGCCCGUCGCUACUACAGAGUGCCCGUGUCCAGGAAACGGUCGGACCUGUGCGGCCUCUCCGGGCGACCGGAGGGCCGUUACGGGGAAGACCCUUUAUUUGACGCGGGUCGAUGAAGUAAAAGUCGUAACA
RNAcentral lists this ribosomal RNA (328 nucleotides) under uncultured eukaryote. Its description in RNAcentral is "partial 18S ribosomal RNA". It matches the Rfam family "Eukaryotic small subunit ribosomal RNA", at positions 1470 to 1796 of the family's 1831-position model. The record is from RNAcentral.